CCCAAAUAGGACGAAACGCGCGUCCUGGAU
Molecule: non-coding RNA, 30 nt
Organism: Schistosoma mattheei
Lineage: Eukaryota; Metazoa; Platyhelminthes; Trematoda; Strigeidida; Schistosomatidae
Source: Rfam